RNAcentral lists this ribosomal RNA (396 nucleotides) under uncultured bacterium. Its description in RNAcentral is "partial 16S ribosomal RNA". It matches the Rfam family "Bacterial small subunit ribosomal RNA", at positions 523 to 918 of the family's 1533-position model. The record is from RNAcentral.
AUACGUAGGUGGCAAGCGUUGUCCGGAUUUACUGGGUGUAAAGGGCGUGUAGGCGGAGAUGCAAGUCAGGAGUGAAAUCUAGGGGCUCAACCCCUAAACUGCUUUUGAAACUGUAUCCCUUGAGUAUCGGAGAGGCAGGCGGAAUUCCUAGUGUAGCGGUGAAAUGCGUAGAUAUUAGGAGGAACACCAGUGGCGAAGGCGGCCUGCUGGACGACAACUGACGCUGAGGCGCGAAAGCGUGGGGAGCAAACAGGAUUAGAUGCCCUGGUAGUCCACGCUGUAAACGAUGAAUACUAGGUGUGGGGGGACUGACCCCCUCCGUGCCGCAGUUAACACAAUAAGUAUUCCACCUGGGGAGUACGAUCGCAAGAUUGAAACUCAAAGGAAUUGACGGGG